AAUGCCUAAAACAACGAAAGCCCUACCUCUCUUUCAUCCUUACGGUUCCUAGACCGCGCCAGUGUGAAUUUAGGGUGAAUUGUGCAG
This 87-nucleotide small RNA is filed under the name Niallia circulans. Its description in RNAcentral is "Bacillus circulans BsrC". It matches the Rfam family "BsrC". Rfam says of the family: The 301 nucleotide sequence from Kouji Nakamura has been trimmed to a highly conserved ~85 nucleotide long core to form this family. The record is from Rfam by way of RNAcentral. Lineage: Bacteria; Bacillati; Bacillota; Bacilli; Caryophanales; Bacillaceae.